Molecule: non-coding RNA, 18018 nt
Organism: Oryctolagus cuniculus (rabbit)
Lineage: Eukaryota; Metazoa; Chordata; Mammalia; Lagomorpha; Leporidae
Source: RefSeq, a predicted model, not a curated record
AUGGGCAAUGGCCCCGGCACUGCGGCUGUGCGGUUCCCUUCGCUGAAAACCACCUCGUAUUCUGUGCGCGCUGACAGGCAUCUGUCAGAGGGUCCUGUCGCCUGCUCUGUGGUGUUCGGCAGAGGCGCACGGGGCCGUCCAGGGGCCCUGCGGGCUGGCCGCCAGGUGCAGAGAAGGGUCUGGGGCUGUGUGGCUGGCAGCAGGGAGGGGGCCCCGUCGCCCGGGCAGCCCCCGCCCCCUGCCUCAGUGCAGGACCCCCAGCCACAGCUCCCUCAGCGGGGAGGCCCCCAGCCCCUAUGCUUGCUCCCACCGACGGACGGGGACUCUGGGCUGCCUGCGCCCCAGGUUCCCGUGAGUGAGAGGGAUAGGAGACGCAGCCUUAGUCCCAAGGAAAGCCUGUGCCCCUGCCCCUGCCCCCGUGACCCCCCCCUCGCCACGGCCCCUGCGACCCCCCUCACCACCCCGCCCCCGCCACUGCCCCGGCCCCCAGCAGACACCUGUCUGCUCGCUAGGAAGACAGGUUCCCUUCCCGCCGCCGCCGCCGCCGCCGCCUGUGCGGGGCAGGCCAGGGGCCGGGAAGGGGGAGGCGCCCCCUGCCCAGGAGGGCGGCCGAGCCGGGCCGCUGGGGUCGGAGUUGGGCCACGGAGGAUUUGUGCCAACUCACGGUGCGGAGGAAUCGGUCUGAAUUCUUCAGACUCCAGCCAGGAGUCUGUGGCGCCCCCAAGUGCCACAAGGGGGCCGCCUGGGCCACAUUUUGGAGCCCGUAAAGUGAGGAGGGGGAGCCGGUCAGGAGGCGGCGGCGCCCCGGACCGACCGGCCGCGCUGCGCUGCGCUGCGGUGCCGAGGGGCUGCGGCGCGGAGCUGCGGCGGCUGCCGCGCGGCGGGCGCGGCCAGGGGAGGGAGGCGGCGGCGGCCGUGGCCGGGCGCCCGGGGAGAAGGGGGAGAGGCGGCCGGGGCUGCGGCUGCUGCGGAAGGGCCGGGAAGGAGCGCGGGGGGCGGCGCGGGGACCUGGAGUGGCGGCGUGAGUGACAGCGAGGAGCGCGCCGGGAACCCCGGAGCCGGCGUGUGAGCGCCCGGGACUAGGGCGCAGGGCAGCCCCGCGCGCCGUUUUGGGGCAGCAGCGCCAACUGUGGUCCCUCCCCCCCGCAAAUUAGAAAGGCAGACAGCUGAGUCCCGGCCACUCCAGGAGCUUCCUGCGAGUGUGAAGGUCCGAGGGAGAGGCGGGGAUCGCCGCUGGCUGGGCUCGUGCGACCUCAGGGGCGGUCCUGGGGGUGGCACAGUCCCGGACCCCUGCGCCCCACACCUGGCCCCUGAGGGGUGCCCGGGGCCCGAGACGAAAGCCCCCGCACUCGGUCCCUAGUCCCUAGUCUCCAUCCCAGUUCACUUAUGGGAAAUGUCAAACUACACAGAAGUAGUUCCAAAAACACAGUGGGCGCCGUCUUCAGUCUGGCAUCGUCCACCAUCACACCACGUCCCGGGUUCCGUCCAAACCGGGGUGCCGGCCUGCCCUGGCCCCGGUGCCGCACAGCUUGGCCAGUGCCCCCCAGGCACGCACUUCUGAGUCCACCCUGAAGAAAAAAGGCCUUUUUCUUAGCCACAACACCAUUAUCAAAAUUAAAAGAGUAGCAGCGUUGUCUUAAUGCAUCAGUUCGGCGUUCUAAUAUUCCUGAUGGACUCAUAAAUUUCUCUUCCUGUUGACUUGUUCAAACCAGUGGCCAGACCGUCCCUGCGGCAUCAGGGGGGCAUUUGGGGUUCUGGAAGGGGAGGUGCAGCUGUAAAUGCAAGGGCUUGAAUGGGCGCCCAGACCUCCAGAGGCGAUCGCAAUCUAAGCAAACCUCAGUUUUUUCACUGAAAAUGAGGCGAAUUCUAGGAGUCUCCCAGUCACCCGGAGGGCUGCAGAUAGCACACGGGGAGGCCCCAAGCCCGCAUCUGAGAACGUCAGAGACACUCAGCCAGAAGAAGCAGCCGCCAAGGGGAGGUGGGCUGGGGGUGGGUAAAACAGAGAUGGCCUCCAUCCUUAAGACAAAAGGAGCUGGCACCCCCCCGACGCCCCCCAAGGGGUCAAGCGCAUGCAGCGCCUUCCACAGGGGCAGUCUGCAGUCCAUUCCUGGAACUCACAACUCUGCUGCAUCCCGGCUGCAGCUGUGACCCGGGACAGGGGGGUACCCCAGGGAGUGCCAGCCCGCUGGGGACCCCAUCACAGGCCACCCCACGUGCCGCCUGGCUGUGCACACCACUGAAACAUCGCUGAGAACGUCUACAAAUCAUUUCUCCAUUUGUUGUGUGAGAACAGUGGUUUUCUCCCUGCAAAAAUCCCAGCCCGAUUGCCAAAAGCAGAGGGACUCAACACGUAGCUCGCGAGCGUUUGCAGAGGCCAGGAGCCGGUCCCCUCACUCGCGCCUUAAAUCCUCACCACCCCUCUCCCAGCUGUGUCUCCUGCACUUUGUUUGACAGAUGAGUGGACUUGGAGGUCAGUGACGUGUUCAAGAUUGGCUAGGAAGUGGGACCCAGGAUUCCAACCCAGGUUUGUCUGGUUCCUUUGAAGACUGAGAGGUGGGAGGAUGGCUGUUAGGUCAGGAGGCAUGAGUGGAAGGUGGGGGGAUCAGCUGAAGUGCAGAUGGUGGAUGGACAGUGAGAGAAGAGUUUCCUAACGGGUUCAGAGCCUGCCUUAGUGGGGCUUGCUGGUGACGCUCCUGCCUCUGUCCCGGCUCCGAGCAUACCCUCUCACCACAGGUGGUCUGCCCACUCACAGGGACCCAGAGCCAGCCUGGUGCUGACCUGCUCAGGGGUGCUCAGUGCCUGCUGCUGUCACGCAGUGCUGGGGCCAGUGCUGUCCACUGGCCGCCCUGUAUGACUGUCCCUGUGCCCCCGUCGCACACUCUGGCCCUGGCCGGUACUGUCUCCUCCACAUCACCACAGCCACGCUCCGUGGUAGCGAUCGCCGUCCCCAGUUACAAGAAAACGAAACCGAGGGUCAAGCAUGGUAAGUGACUUCCCCAAAGCCAUAGAGGGAGCUCAUGCUUUGAGCCCAGCCCCCUUUGCUUCAAAACCCACACUCUGCCCUGUUUCCUGUUCUCCAUGACCGUGCUCGAAAAUCACGUACUCUGCUCGGGGUUCACCCAUGUCAGACCCACCCUCCCGGUCUGUGGGUGAUCCUAGCUUCUCAUCCAAUCAAAUUUAAUUGUAUUUCUCAAGUAACACCUUCUCUAGUGUCUCCUUCUUGUAAUCAUCACUCAAACAAGGGCCACAGGUACCGGCGGCACCUAGCAACACAACCGACCAAGUCAGAUGAGAUACCUGGUAUCUCAGGUUUCUGUGGCGUGCUGAUGGAAACAGCAGAGCCCGAAGGGGCACAAGGCAGGGAGGGAGGGGGCCAGAUGGAGGGCUGACGGGACCGUCAGUGAGCUUCCCGCAGACGGGCUUACACUCGGCAGUUGGGUUUUGAGAAACUGCUGUGUACGCAUCGCUUGUCUCAGAUGCAGGAGUUUCCGUCCCAGCCAUUGACUAGUUUGCCCAGUUUGGAUGAGGUGUUCACGCUCUGUGCCUCAGUUUCCCCAGUUGUGAUAUGAAAAUAGCAAUGGUUCCUUAAUAAGGACAGCUGAAGAUUAAAGGACUCAAACACAUACCAGGUUUAGAAGAGUGCCUCCUGUAUGGUGAGCGCGCAAUAACCCUUUCAUUGUCAUCUAAGUUCUCAUCGAGAUGUCGUUUAUCGUCUUGGUCACGUGGGAGUCCUGACCCACCUCUCACAGGUGACUGAACAGGUGCUCAGUGAGGCGUGAGAGCUGCUUUGAAUGGGACCCAAUGAAACGAACAAAAACGCGAAGUCAAGACAGACGAUUUCAGUUCUGGGCACAGAAGCAAGAAUUCUGCGCAGCAACGGGAUGUGACCCACCCAAGGGAGCCCCAGGGAAGGCACAUCUUCCUAAGGGGUCUUCCUGGAGAGAGUGGAGCUGAGGGCCCGCUGAGGGGCCCAGGGCAACACAAGCGGUUAGAGUUCUCCGUGCAAAAGUUCUGGGAGCUGGUGGAGCUAAACUUGCGGCUUGUGGAAGCGGCGGACAGGUUCCCCAGUUCUCGUCAAAAUCUCUUAAUCUCUUCCCUUCCCUGUUUGUUUUUUUUUUUUUUUUUUUAAGAUUUAUUUAUUUAUUUGAAAGUCAAGAGUUACACAGGGAGAGAAAGAGAGGCAGAGAGAGAGAGAGAGAGAAAGAGAUCUUCCUUCUGCUGGUUCACUCCCCAAUUAGCCUCAACGGCCGGAGCUGCACUGAUCCAAAGCCAGGAGCCAGGUGCUUCCUCUGGGUCUCCCACGCGGGUGCAGGGACCCAAGGACUUGGGCCAUUUUCCAGUGCUUUCCCAGGCCGUAGCUGAGAGCUUGAUUGGAAGUGGAGCAGCCGGGUCUUGAACCGGCCGGCAUCCAUAUGGGAUGCCGGCGCUUCAGGCCAGGGCAUUAACCCACUAUGCCACAGCGCCAGGCCCCCGUCCCACCCUUUUUCAAACUAUUUCCUGCCUUGCUGUUUCCAAGGGGGCAGUUGCAACCCUUCCGAGUCUCACCACGGGGGCAUGAGAAUUGGUGAUCGCCGCCCAUUCUUGGACAGAACCGUUGCCCCUUGAGCUCAGGUGGCCUGUGGCAGUGUGCCGGGAGGGUGCUGGUGUACGCCGUUGGAUGCCCUAAGAGCCAGGUGCCAGGGACAUGGUGGCUCUGGUGCUGACCUGCUGGGCUGCGCCGACGUAGGCUGUGUUCACAGCACGGUCUGGCCCCAGAAUCUGCACAUGUCCCGUAGGGACGGCUGUCACUGCCCCUUCAACCAGGGCUGUUGGUGCCUCCUGGGUACUCCCUCUGCUCCUGGGGCUGCCUGUGCUGGAGGCCAGACGGGCCCUCCCAGGCGUGUGCGUCCACGCACUCGAGAAGGCAUUGUGCCGCGCAGGGUAAUGCCGACUUGAGCCGCCUCCCGCACGGCACCUCCUAGCCAUGUGACCGCUGGCAGGUCGCUUUGUGGGCACAAUAGGACGCGUGAUGCUCUUGCACAGAUGUCACAUCUGGGUGAGGCCGUCUCUCCCUGACCAUUUCCUGUCCUGCACGCCGCACUUCCUGUCUCCUCCCACAGUGGUGGUCAUGUGCCUUCUUCACGGCCUCGUCUCCACACCUAGACCCGGUGACUGGCUCAGGGUGGGUGCUCACAACUUUUGGGGGGCUAAAAAGGAGAGGUGCUGACGGUCCAGGGGUCGGGGUUUGUACCCACGCCCGAGGAGCGCCGGUGUGUGCAGUGCAGGCGGUAGGGUGCUUGGCGUGGGGGAUGCAUGCAGUGAGUGUUGGCCGAUACGGCUGUCAUGUCUGGUCCACAGGACCGCUGCAGGGAUCAGAGGCGACGGUGUGUGCCGAAGCGUGCCGUGAGCGCCGUGUGCCGGGCGAAGCAGGACACUCGCUCAAGCUUUGAUGCCGUGUCCAGGAAAGGACAGAUCCCACCGAUUUCCUGCCUGAAGCCCACCCUUCCCGAGAGCUUCGGCGUGGCCUGAACGUCGAGACGACUGUGUCUCUCCGGGCCCGCGGGUGCUCAGCUGAAACUUCCCGCAGAGGCCCAGCGAGCCACUGACCCCGGGAAGCAUUUGUUUAAGAACGCGAAUGCGCGCUGAGAUCUUACACGUGCCGGAGAGACAGGGAGGUGUGCAGUAGGGUCUGCUGAUCGCGUUAUUCUAAGGUAGGAGACAGGUUGGGUGAGAGGUGAGGAAUGCAGGUUCUUGUCACAAGUAGUUUUUUUUUUUUUUUUUAUGGAUUUAUUUAUUUGAAAGAGUUACACAGAGAGGAGAGGCAGAGAGAGAGAGAGGGAGAGAGAGAGGUCUUCCAUCCGCUGGUUCACUCUCCAAUUGGCUGCAACGGCCUGAGCUGUGCCGAUCUGAAGCCAGGAGCCAGGAGCUUCUUCCAGGUCUCCCACGUGGUGCAGGGGCCCAAGGACCUAAGCCAUCUUCUGCUGCUUUCCCAGGCCAUAGCAGAGAGCUGGAUCGGAAGUGGAGCAGCUGGGUCUCGAUCCGGCACCCAUAUGGGAUGCGGCACUGCAGGCGGCGGCUUUACCCACUAUGCCACAGGGCUGGCCCUGAUGAGUGGUUUUAAUAAUCAGUGAGACAAGACAGGUGUUGCCAGGGCAAGGAUGGGAAUGGGUCGAGAGCGAAGGAUUGUGAUGAAUUCUGCACAACCGAGGGACAUAGGAAAAGAGACCAGGACGGUCAGCGGCUGUCAAUUUCCUUAUUAAAAAUGAGAAAAGAAUAAAGACCUCAUGUAACCGCGGCCUUGCCUGGAGCAGCUGUGAGGAUGUGUUCUGCAUGGAGGACUGUGGUGAAGCCAGGGCCGCCGAGCUGCCACGAGCAACCAGCAGGUGCGCGAGACCCUCUCUUCCUUUGAGGCCCGUGUGCCGCACGUGGAGCACGCGGGGGCUUCCCUGACCGAGGAGGUGACCGCGGGCAGGUGAAAGCGGGGCUUCAUGGGCGUCCACUGCGUAGGUCCCAAUGCGCGACUGUGUGAGCCACGCCAAGGAGGCCCCGCGGAGCAGCGAUGGCAGAGUGCCCACGCUCGGCUUUCCGUCCGGGGGCUCCCACUCGUCCAGGGAGCUCGCUCGUCAACAUCCCCUUCUGCUCUCAGCGCUGUUCCUGGGGGUGUGCUGAGAGGCCCUAAGCCCUGCAGGUGCACAGCACGCCGUUACUGAGCGUGGCUGCGCUCAGGGUUGGGCUCUUUGCUCCCCGCGUCCUUUGCCCUCCAACCUGAGGCAGCCAUCUUUCCACUCGGUUUAGAAGGCGGAACCCCGCUGGUAGGGAGUGGGGCUGUGGGUGGCAGGAAGCCUGCUGUGGGCAGAAGCAGUGGCAGCCGUUGGCCUGGGCCCAAGGCCUGUGUGGAGUGUCUGCGGUACACUUAGGGGAAUUCGGUGAGCGAGGAAGCGGCAGGAUGAAAGGCGGCUGAACUUAAAGUUUCAUGACCUCAGGCCCGGGUUAAUCCUCUCGUGCGCAGCUGCGAGCCGUCUAAAGCCACUCUGGAUAAGAAGGGCUCGGAGGCACUGGGCAGCAUUUCUGUCCUGGGUUAGUGCCGCUGCCUGCCUGUUUGUUGUGUGUGAAAAGUAAGUAAAACGGCAAACAGGGUGAAGGGGGAGCCGUGAGCGUGCCUGGGCCGCAGGCUGGCGUUACUCUGCAUGUCUGGGUCCGGGCUGGGUCCCCUGGUGCUCCCAGUGCCCCCUGGCCUUGCUGGUGAUUGGGGCAGGGCAGGGGUGCACCCUGAGAUAACACUACAGGUGUUAAUGCUGCAUUCGGGCCAGUGGUGAAUCAGGGUAACUGUGUUCUGCUGACCUCGUGGUUGUUCCAGAAGACCAGGUUUGGUCAGUCUUCUUAGCAUCUGCCUUGUGUCCACAGAACGGGGACCCUGGAGUGGACGCAAGGACCCCUCUUCGGACGGAGACCCUGCUGUGCCCUGUGGCGGAGGAGACCCGAGCCCAGCCGUGGAGUGCAGAGUGAAGAUUGUGGCUGAUGGAAUUGGCCUCUGCUGAUGAAGAUUUUGACUGUUGCCCUUGUGGGACGGCCGUGCGAUGGUGCCCUCUCCACUCAUGAGGACGAGCCUGGUUGCUGUCCUUUUGAGUAACGAGUGCGGAAGCUGACAGCCGCGCUGCCGGGUGGACCACGUCCUCCUCCAUGGCCACAGCUGUGCAGUGUCACCUGUUUCCCGCGUGAGUACAGUUGAGUUCUUGCCUUGGUUUGGGUGGGUUUUAAGCCAUAUUUCCUGUAUUGUUCAGAGAGUUAUGUAUAAAUUGUGAUGGCUAACCAUGGCCCAGAGAUAAAUAUGGCAUCGCCAUGAAGUGCUGGGAUGAUUAAUCAAUAUUGCACAGUUAAAACUGAGUGCUGCAGAGAUAUGACCAGUGUCCAGGAGGAUCCUAUAAAUAGCAGUUAAAGUACACCCAAGGAUCUCGUCCCUAGUGUUCGUGAUUCAUAGGUCUGUGGUUAGUGUUCGUGAAAUGAUGAAUUAGUUAGGACGAGAGCGGAGGCCGGUCUUGGAUCGAUGAUGGUGACUGGCGGGGUGUGAGUCACGGGUGCUGACGGCUGAGCCCCAGCGCGGUCGGAAGUGGAAUCUACACCCGCUGAUGGCUGGGUGUUAGGAGUGUUGUUCUUGGUGCUUGUGUUCAUGCAUUCUCGUUGUAAUCUUCUAAUUGGAUCAGUGAAAUCAUCAAACAAAUAUGUAAAUAAAUAAAGAAGUGUAGCAUUGUCCAGCCAUGACUCUACUCUGAGAAGCAAGGAGCUAAGUAGGAUUCAUUUGAGAGGCAGAGUUACAGACAGAGAGACUGAGAGACAGAGAGGAGUCUUCCAUCGGCUGGUUCACUUGCCAGAUGGCUGCAGUGGUUGCCGGUGGGCUGAUCUGAAUCAGGAGCCGGGAGCUUCUUCUGGAUCUCCUACGUGGGUGCGGGGGCCCUCCUCCCCUGCUUUCCCAGGCCACAGCGGAGAGCGUGAUUGGAGGAGGAGCCGCCAGGGCAGGAACCGGUGCCCGUGUGGGAUACCUGUGCUGCAGGAGGAGGCUUAGCCUACACGCCACAGCGCUGGCCCCUAUUAAUAUAUAUUAAAAUCGCCAAGAGCCAUUAAGAAGCAAAAACUCAAAUGUAGAGAGUAAAAAAAAUCAUGUCCCAACACUUGUUUGGGUAUACCCAUGUUUGUAAAUAAAAAAGUUACCAGAAUUGAAGACAUCCUAAAUGCUGAUAAGAUCAAAGAGGGCUACAGGGAGAAAUGGAGAGAAGGUCAACGUUUCCACCCUCUGUUCUGCCUUGUGCUCUAGAGCGGGCGCCCCCGAGUGGAUGCAUGUCCUCCUCCAUGGUCACAGCUCUGCAGGCACCCUUGUGUGUGUGCAGCAUAGGGUGUAACGUGAGUAUGGUCAAGUUCUUGCCUUGGUUGGGUGGUUUUUAAACCAUAGCCUCUGUGUCGUUAAGAGCAUCAUCUGUAGACCAUGGCCCCACACCACUAUGUUGAUUAAUCAAUAUUGCACAAUUAAAACUGAGUGCAACAAGACAUCGGACAAAUGUUGGAAAAGAUCCUGUGGGUCGCAGGUGAAGCACACCCUAGGAGCCUGCUGUUGAUUUUCCUGAUGCAUAGCUACGUGAUUAGUGUUUCCACGCGGGUGAAUUAGGAGCAGAUUUCAGGGGAGAAGGAGGCCGGUCUUGGAUCGAUGAUGAUGACUGGUGGCGGAUGAGUCGAGGAUCAUGACUACUGGUCUGGAAGGCUGAGGUCCAAGGCCGCGAGCAGGCUCCUCUGCGCCUCCUCAUCCCCGCGACGGGACCUGCCAAGGCGUCCAUGCAUUGCAUUCAGUUUGCUGUAAUUGAUCAGUGAGAGAAUCAUUAAAGAAAUACUUGAAUGAAGAAAUGUCCUUCAUUGUAUCGCACACACUGGCGUCUGUUAAGGAGUAGAGGCUCAAAGGUGCUACUUCUUCCGAGGUUGGCGCUUACAAUAGAAGCAGUGACUGAGUCCCUGUUUGGGUAGGGCCAUGCUCAUUAUUGCUUGUUUUCUCAAGAAAAGAUGUCAUCAGAGUUUAACACAUCCUUAAAUGGCUAAUGAAAAAUAAAAUGGCUAAUCAAAGGUCCCUGUUUCUACAUUCUGUUCUGCUUUGUGCCCUCAGAGCCGCGCUGCCGGGCGGGCCACGUCCCCCUCCAUGGCCACAACUGUGCGGUGCCGCCCGUGUCCCGGGUGAGUACAGUCAAGUUCUUGCCUUGGUUUGGGUGGGUUUCAGCCAUAUUCCCUGCAUUUUGUAUAAACUGUGAAGGCUAACCAUGGCCCAGUGAUGAAGACUGUGGUGUGGUCCAUUAGGAAUGAAUAAUCAAAGAGACGUAGCCAAUGUUGUGAGUGAUCUGGUUGAUGGCUAUAACGUAUUGGUAAGCAUUUUAUUCUGAAGUUUGUGACACUCAUAGUUACUUAAUCAUCAGCAUUUAAAUGAUUCAUUAAUAAAUAAGCAAAUCCAGAAGUUAGCAGAGGGGAGGAGGCUGAUCUGGGAUCAGUGAUGAUGACUGGUGGCGGACGUCGCGGUGACGACUGCUGGUCUGGAAGGCUGAGGUCCAGCACAUCUGUCUCCUCUGCCGCCUCUGCUGCAGGCUUGGGGAUAAACAAGAGAAAAAGCGGUAUCUGUCAUCGAAUUCAUGGCACUCAGACGACAGACUAAUUGCGCGGAGGAGUGAAGGCGCGAGGGCGAGAACAUCUCAAAGCUCCCUUCACCGCUCUGCUCUUCAUCCUCAGGACGAUGCACUUGAGUUGCACUUGAGUUGGCGAACCCGCUCUCCUGGGCCCCGCCCUCUGCGGUCGCCCCGUCACCAGGGGCUCAGAGACGGCCGUACCUAACUGCUUCCAAUACAAAAUGUAGACUGGGAACACGAAGGAGUCAGCGAUGGGCACAGAAUGCAGACGACUCGGGCGAGUCCUUGCUUCUCAUCGGUCUCCUCUGUCCUGCAGUCCUCGGAAAGGACACCGACCGGCUGCCGGGCGUCCCUCCGCAGUGCGCGCUGAUGGGGCACUGGCACAGUAAGGCACGCGCUGAGCCGCCCAGUGUCCCGCCCUGUUCCUGAGCUCCGUGGGUGCCUCUGGGGAGGGCCUCACGUCCAUCCACGAACCAAGCCCCGGGUGAGAGACGUCACAGCUGUGUCACCGUCCGGAGUUCUCCGAGGCGCAUCCGUGCAUCACUGGAGUGCGGAAGGCCGGGAUGCGCCGGGUUCUCCCCGUUCGGCCAUGUGAUUGACGGGGCUGUGAAGCCGAUGUUGGUGAGUUAGUGAAUGAUCAAGUGUAGCUGAGAGCCAAGUACAAGAGGCCCCAUCUGAGCCGGCAAUGACGCUGCUGGCGCAGGAGGCGCAGGAGGUGAGUAAGAUGUGCUGGAGCCCCAAGACGCUUCCAGGAGAAGCCACAGUCUUCCGCCUCUGCUGGAAGUGAUCCUGCACAUAGAUUCUGGAAACAAAAAGUGGCCAUUUUCUUGGGGUACUUUGAUGAAUUUUGAUUCUUUUACUCUAAAUGCAUCAGUGUAGGAGCCAAUAUACAAUGUUAUAAUAUUAAUGAUAAAUUGUAAGAUGUGAUUAAUGGGAAGCUUCAUGUUAAUUGAUCCCUACAUGCAAUACUGAAAUCAAUUAAUGAAAGAGAAAUGUUGGUAACGGGAAGGCAUUUGAUAGGCCGAUGUUAGAGGUGUCCAAGAAUCUAGUUCUCUGGUUUCUGAACUCUUUGUGUGAUUUAUUCUCCUUAAUGAGUUGAUAAGGAAUAAAGUCUGUAGACACGCAUGAUGAAGCUGGCGGCUGUGCCUGGAUCAGUGACGGCUGCUCCGGCGUACGAGCUGUGCCGACGAAUGGAUGCUUGCAAGAACUCUGAGGUCCAGCAAGAGCAGAACCAGGCCGCUGCCUUUGUUGGGCACAAACAGAACCUCUGAACUCGCUUCCCUCUCGGCUGCUUUGUGUUUCCCAGGCACAGCUGCGCUGACUCGCGCUUCCCUGAGCUGCACGGCUGUGCCUGAAGCAGGAAGACCAGCGUGAGGGACAGCCCUGUCUUGUCUGGGCUUUGGAGGUUUGCUCAGUACAGUCACCGACUCUGGCUUUGAAAUACAGCAAAUAUAGUCAAAGAAGGCCAACCGUUGCGUAGGUUAUGCUAACGAGGGGGAUUCAUGAGAGAGACACACAAAUGAUUCCAUAGGCAGAUGUUAGGGAUCCUUAGGGACUUUUUUCCCUUGAAAUUUUUGAUUCAUAGUCGAUUUUAUUGUAAUUAUUCAUAACUCGUGAAUAAUAAAAUGUAGAUUAGUAUGAAGAAAAUGCACUCAAUGGUGGAACCGGCGGUGUGAGUCUUGGAUGAUGGCUGACGUGGAGCUGGGAGGUGAGCAAGCAGGAAACUUGGUCCAUGUGUUGGGCUCAUUUGUGAGUGACCUGAGGUGUGGAAGCUGGGAAUAUUUUAUUUUGGAUUCAUGGAUUUGUAUAUUAUUAUUCCUGUACAUUGGUCCAUGGUGGACGUAGUGAACAAUUCUAGAAUUCAGCAUUCUCACCUGUGAAUAUGUGUGGUGAGGCAGGACGCGCCGAUGGCAUGUUCAAGGCUAACUACAGUAGAGAAGCCAACACAUGAAAGGUGUCACGUAGACUCAGAUAAGGAAGCCGUGGCCAGUCUUUUUGGGUGAGUCAGUUCAAGGUUGUCUUGUAAGAAAAACACACGUAUGUUAGGAUAAAUUGAGAAAUGCCUGCAGGACAGGAUACAGGGGAUGGGGAAGAUGAGUCAUUGGAGAGAAGGCAAUUGGCUCCUCUGCCGCGUUCUUCCGCACUGCGCCUGCACUGUGCUGCCUUAAGGAUCCGUUCGUUCAGGAGCUGUGUGGGUGUCUGUAUGUGCAGGCCGUGGAGCCCAACGCAUGUAACUGCCAGCGUUCUUGUCUUGUCUUUGAAUGUUUGUAAAAGUUGUCACUGUAUUAUUGUAGAGCUUAGGAUGUAAUCAGUUAAGACUAACCACUAACCAUGGCCUAAUCUUAAAGAUGGGAUUGAUAAAAUCAUUAUGUUGAUUAACACAUAUAAUACAUGAAAUGCUGAGGUCAGCUAGUAAAAUCAAUCUAUUGGGAAGUAACUUUAUAGACAGGUGUCAGAGGCAUACACAAAUCUUGUUCUUGGAUUUUUGUGACUUUCUGAUGCUAAUUUAUUUUAUUGGUGAAUUAAUCAGCAAGUGCAGACAUGGGUGAAGACAGAGUGAACCUGGGCCGGCACUGAAGAGUAGGCAUAAUGACUACACACGCCAGAACUUGAGGCUCAACAUGAAAAGAGAAAUAAUUUAGUUCCUUCGAUAGAAUUGACUGUAUAAACUUGGUAUUAGGCCUAUCAAGGGUCUUAAUGUAUGUCAUGGCUAUUGAUUCCAUUGCUCAAAUUAAUUAACGUUAGGAUAGCUUAAAAAUGUGUGAGUUAGUAAAGAACCCAAGGUUGCCUCUGUUAGAGAAAGAAAGUUACUCCAUUUUACUGGUGUUCUUAAGAUCUGAGAGGCAGAUAUCAAUUGCUGGAAGAAGACUUAGGGAAAACACUUAAAGACAUUGGUAUAAGCAAUGAGUUUUUGAGUUAUUUAUAAGACCCUAAAGCAUGGGCAGCAAAAGCAAAACUAGACAGUGGGAUCCCAUCAGGCUCAGAAACUCACGCCAGCAAAUGAAAUCAGACUUCUGGCAGAGUGGGAGCAAAUAUUUGCAAGCCAGUUACGUGACAAAGGAUUACUGUUCAGAAUAUAUCAGGAACCCCAGCAUCAAGAAAGCAGCUAAUCCAGCGAAGAAAUGGGCAAAGGACGUGAACAGAGAGAUCCUCGGAAGCAGAACCAGUGGCCAACCAGCCCACGAGAAACGCUCUGUCACCGUGAGAUGCCGCUGUCAGUAAGACAGAAAGUCGCGUGUGCUGUGGACGCGGGCAGAGGCGGGUUCUCCUACACUGGAAAUGCAAGCUAGCACAGCCGCUGUGCCAACCAGUGUGCCGAUGUCUUAACCAGGAUCGGGGCUGACCGUGCUCUGUGGCCACGGAGUGUGCGGGCUCACGUAAGCCAGAGUCAGCGCUCUUGUCUUGUCGGGUGGUUUGUUCGCUGGUGCUUGGAGUGCUGUAAGAGGUGAAUCAAUGGGCACAAGCCAAAUAAAAUCGAAGAAGGCGACAAACGAGACCGCGCCGUGCGGCGCAGCUGUGGACAGAUUGGUGCCAUUUCCGACCUCUCCCGGCCACUCGAUGUGUUGCUUUAGCUUUGUCAUCACUGCUUUGUAUUGCUGGCUACAAUGCUGCUUUGUUAACUGCAUGAGGUGGGAGCACAUAGGAAAUGAACAGUUGUCAAGGUCAAGUGGCCCAUUCUUCUUGUUCAUUGUCACAGCUUAAUAGAAUGUGUAAUUGUAAGGAGAGUAGUACAUGAAUCUGUGAUAUAAAUGGAAUCAGCUCUCAAAGGAAGGUGUAAAAUUAUAUUUUCACACCAUUGUUGUAGUCCAUUCAAGACCUCUCCCGGCACUGAGCCUGCUGACGAAUGGCGGGAGCAGUCGGUGAGCCUUGCUGGGCUUUGCUGGGCUGUUGUGUGCGUCGGUUCUGCUGUGAGUGAGUCAUCGCAUGUAAAUAUCGUGCAAAUGAAUACAUAAAAACCUGCUGGACGUGUGAUUUCCAUAAGCAUGUUUACUGGAAUAGAGUUGUAAUUUCAUGUUUCUCGAACAAUGGAAAUAGCCCCAGCCUGGGACCCACGUCAGCCGGCGGCACGUGCGCAGGUACGUAAUGACUCAGGAGAUUAAAGCCACCAAGCACGGACCAGUUAGGAGGAUUUGUUCUGAAGCGAGUAUUAGAAUUGAGUCUUUUAGUCCAGAGAAGCAAAUUUUUUUUUAAAUUUUUAUUUAUUUAUUUGACAGGCAGAGUUAAGACAGUGAGAGUGAGAGACAGAGAGAGAGGUCUUCCAUCUGCUGGUUCACUCCCCAAAAGGCCGCUCUGAAGCCAGGAGCCAGGAGCUUCCUCCUGGUCUCCCACAUGGGUGCAGGGGCCCAAGGACUUGGGCCAUCUUCUACUGCUUUCCUAGGCCAUAGCAGAGAGCUGGAUGGGAAGAGGAGCAGCCGGGACUAGAACCUGCGCCCAUAUGGGAUGCUGGUGCCGCAGGCGGAGGAUUAACCUAGUGCGCCACAGUGCCGGCCCCCAGAGAAGCAAAUUUAAAAAGAGAGUGAAACUUUCAAUUCAUGUUCAUAGCUGUGUAUUAUUCCUCCUUGGUUUUCUUACACCUGUGAUUGAUAGGUCUGUGGGUCAGAUUUAAAGCGUAGAUCUCAAGGUGUGCUGUUGAUGUGCAUGGUACCUGUUUUAGAGGCUGAAUUUAUAAAGAAAGUAAGAUGAUGUCAGCUCGUAGAGGACAGGGUUUGAGUGCUCACUGUGGGCUCGUGACCCCUACGGGAGGCGGGGUGUAUGGGCUCCAGGGGGACAGUGCCCAGGGAGGACUGGGGUGUGCGUAACCCACUGGGCUUCGUAAGCCCCAGAGCCACUGCCUGCCGUGUUCCCAGCAGGGCCUGUGGGCUCCGUCUCUGGGCCUUUGUGGAUUUUGAUUUCCUGACCCUCAGUAAGUUUAAAAAUAAACGAAUACGGCAGUGUGCGUGGGAGAAGCGUGCGCGUGCGUUGUUUGCAGGGGUGUGGCGGGGGUUCUUGUUGAUAGCAGCUGCGAUGAUAGAUUCAUGAAUGAAAUCGUAAACAGACCAAAGGGUAGGAGUGAGUGGGCCAGCCAGAGAUUUGUAGCAGUUAGGGUUCUCGCUUUGUGCCCAGGUGGGUCGUUUAUUCGAGAGAAAAAGAAGUGAGUGACAGCACAUGGAGACCGGUUAAUGAAGGAGACGUUGUGAGGGGUGCUCAAGGGUGAUGGUUCCGGUUUCUGUGAUCCGGGGAGACGUUUCCUUGUCAUUACUCAGUUGAAGUGUUCCUCAGUCAGUACACGUGGGACGGAGGGGGCAGAGGUGGGACGUCCCGAUGGCCAUCACUGCUGGCCGUGGCGUUGCGGGUGCCCAGCGCUGAGUGUGUCCGACUCUGGGCUGCGUGGCCUCUCCUGGCGGAAGCGAGCCUACGGAAGCCUUAGAUGUGCCCGGAGGUCCCAUUCUUGACCUUCUGAGGUUCACAGAUUUUGUUUGCACUGUUCCCAAGCACCAGUGACAAAAUGCCCAUGAUAAGUGAAGUUGAAGAGGGUGAAGCGUGGGCAAGGGAAGAAAUCGUGGUCGCAAUCCAGUGGGUCCUGGUGUGGCCUCUUUGUAGACAGUGACAGGUGAUAGUCACUGGCUGCUGUGGGCGCUGCUGGGUGCUCUCUCGGGGGGGUCCCUCAGAUUUUGUAUCUCGCUCCAUAUUGUCCUGGGUCAGUUCCAAGUUCGAGGCUAAGCGUUUUCUUAACAGAAAGCAUGGAUGUAUUAUGCAAAUUUAGUAAAUAGCAAAUACUAGUUGGGAAAGGAGAAGAACAGAUAUCUUGACUUUGUUCCGCUCUGCUUUGUAAUCCUCGGAUGGAAGCCUCGCGGGCGGUGACCCCCUCUGGCACGGUCACGGGCUCGCUGGCUGCCUCUGUGUUAGGAACGUGGAGACCGUGUGAGUGUUGUCAGAGUUCUUUUCGUGGUUUGGGAGGUUUGUUUAAGGGUAUUCACUGUAUCAUUGAAAUCUUAGAAAUAUAAUUAUGUAGCUCACUGAUAAAUAGAGCAUUAAAUAUAAAGCUUUCUGUGGGUUAAUGGGUGAAUGAAACUGAAGCUAGUUAAUGAGGAGGUAACAUCGCUGUGAGAUGAUUCUCGUAGGAACAGGGCUUCCUUAGGUUCCCGUGAAUGGUAAGGCUUAAGUAGCUGUCAAUGAGCACCAGUCCUGGGUCAGCAAUGACCACUCGUGACGUUUGAAGGGAGUCUGAUCUCGUAGACGGAGUUCAGAAAUACAAGAGCGUGUUUGUUGUUACCGAUUUUCAUAAUUGGAUCAGUGUAAGAAUCAAUCAGUGUGUAAUAGAGAUGGAAACGAGAAUCAUUAUCCAAUUAUGAAAGUCUGUGUCGAGGUUAGGCAUUCUACACCCUGACACAUCCCCUCACUGGCUGAAGAUGUAGGGGGUGUAAUUAUAGCCAAUACUGACAUUCUGGGUCAAUUGUCGGUUUGGAUUGCUCCAAUCGAAGAGAAAAUGAAAUCAAAUCUGCCCACUAAUGAUGGCCUCAGUGGCUGACUAAUGAUGGGAGGGACAGUGCUCCACGUGGGUCUGUCUCUGCCAUCCCCGUCUCGACUGUUCCAGCCCAGGGUGUGGACGCACUUGUCUGAGGGGUCACAUGCUGUGUUUGCACCCGGCUUAGCAAGCACCUUGCCCAGGGUCACCCCUUUGAGUGUUUUUAAGAGGAUUUAAUGAAUUAUAAAACAAUUACAUAAUAUAACCGAUUAUAUCCCCAAGACAGACAUAGGAUUACUAUGAAGGGUCUAAUUUUAAUGUCUGUGAAAACUGAGGUUAAUGAAUGACUCAGAUAUAUCAUUGUUAGAAUUUUUUUUAAAAGAUUCAUUUAUUGGCUGGUGCCAUGGCUCAAUAGGCUAAUCCUCUGCCUUGUGGCGCCGGCACACCAGGUUCUAGUCCCGGUUGGGGCGCCGGAUUCUAUCCCGGUUGUCCCUCUUCCAGGACAGCUCUCUGCUGUGGCCAGGGAGUGCAGUGGAGGAUGGCCCAAGUGCUUGGGCCCUGCACCCCAUGGGAGACCAGGAGAAGCACCUGGAUCCUGCCAUCGGAUCAGCGCAGUGCCGGCCGUAGCAGCCAUUUGGGGGGUGAACCAACGGAAGGAAGACCUUUCUCUCUGUCUCUCUCUCUCUCUCUCACUGUCCACUCUGCCUGUCAAAAAUAAAAAUAAAAAAAAGAUUAAUUAAUUUAUUUGAAAGGCAGAGUUACAGAGAGGCAGAGGCGGGAAACAGAGAGAGAGAGAGAGAGAGAGAGAGAGAAAGGUCUUCCAUCUGCUGGUUCACUCCCCAAAUGGCCACAAUGGCUGGAGCUGCGCCAAUCCAAAGCCAGGAGUUUGGAGCCUCCUCUGGGUGCCCUUCGUGGGCGCAGAGGCCGAAGGCCUUUGGCCAUCUUCCACUGCUUUCCCAGGUCAUAGCAGAGAGCUGGAUCAGAAUUGGAGCAGCUGGGCUAUGAACUGGCACCUGUGAAAUAAUUCUUUUUAAGAUUAGAAAUAUCAAGGCUCUUCUGUUUUUGUGAUUCAGAGGCUUCAAAUCAUCGUUAGUGACAUAAUGAAUUAGUCAGCAGGCAGUGUGGAAACGGUGCGUACAGAACACUGCUCCUGGGCCCAGGGCGACCGCGGGUGGCAUGAGUCAGGUGUGACGAAUCCGUGUCUGGAGCUCCGAAGUUUGUCACCAGAGAAGUGUAACCCAUUCCCUGUGUUUGGCGGACCCUGGACUCAGGUGUCGGGAGUACAGAAUAUGUUUGUAUCUGGUCUUUCUGAUUAUGUAUUUUCAUUAUUUCUUUUUUUUUAACCUGGAUCAAUAAAUAUGGAUAAUAUAUAAAUACCUAAAAAGUAGAAUAGGUGAACAUUGGCCAAUCAUAAAAAUACAGGAUGAGGUAAGACGUGCUGUC